CCCUGGGUGGUGCAAAUGGUUAACACGCUUGGCUGCACACCAGAAUGUUGGUGGUUCGAGUCCAUCCAGAGGCA
This 74-nucleotide transfer RNA is filed under the name Loxodonta africana (African savanna elephant). It matches the Rfam family "tRNA". Rfam says of the family: Transfer RNA (tRNA) molecules are approximately 80 nucleotides in length. The record is from Rfam by way of RNAcentral. Lineage: Eukaryota; Metazoa; Chordata; Mammalia; Proboscidea; Elephantidae.